AGCUUUGCACAGUGGCAGUAUCAUAGCCAAUGACGUUUAGCCAAGGCGCGAUUAUUGCUAAUCAAAAACUUCUCCCAAUAUCCCGCCAUGAUGACUUGAAAUAUAGUCGGCAUUGGCAAUUUUUGGCAGUCUCUACGAGG
RNAcentral lists this small nuclear RNA (140 nucleotides) under Saimiri boliviensis boliviensis (Bolivian squirrel monkey). RNAcentral describes it as "U4 spliceosomal RNA (ENSSBOG00000000166.1)". It matches the Rfam family "U4 spliceosomal RNA". From Rfam's summary of the family: U4 small nuclear RNA (U4 snRNA) is a component of the major U2-dependent spliceosome. The structure of U4 snRNA from yeast and human has been reported. Lineage: Eukaryota; Metazoa; Chordata; Mammalia; Primates; Cebidae. The record is from Rfam by way of RNAcentral.